RNAcentral lists this ribosomal RNA (474 nucleotides) under uncultured bacterium. Its description in RNAcentral is "bacterial SSU rRNA". It matches the Rfam family "Bacterial small subunit ribosomal RNA", at positions 915 to 1391 of the family's 1533-position model. The record is from RNAcentral.
GGGGGCCCGCAAGCGGUGGAGCAUGUGGUUUAAUUCGACGCAACGCGAAGAACCUUACCUGGGCUCGAAAUGUAGUGGAAUCCGGCAGAAACGUCGGCGUCUAGCAAUAGACCGCUAUAUAGGUGCUGCAUGGCUGUCGUCAGCUCGUGUCGUGAGAUGUUGGGUUAAGUCCCGCAACGAGCGCAACCCUUAUCUUCAGUUGCUACCAUUUAGUUGAGCACUCUGACGAAACCGCCUCGGAUAACGGGGAGGAAGGUGGGGAUGACGUCAAGUCCUCAUGGCCUUUAUGUCCAGGGCUACACACGUGCUACAAUGGCCGGUACAAACCGCUGCAAACCCGCGAGGGGGAGCUAAUCGGAAAAAGCCGGCCUCAGUUCGGAUUGGAGUCUGCAACUCGACUCCAUGAAGCUGGAAUCGCUAGUAAUCGUGGAUCAGCAUGCCACGGUGAAUACGUUCCCGGGCCUUGUACACACC